This 482-nucleotide ribosomal RNA is filed under the name uncultured bacterium. Its description in RNAcentral is "bacterial SSU rRNA". It matches the Rfam family "Bacterial small subunit ribosomal RNA", at positions 29 to 506 of the family's 1533-position model. The record is from RNAcentral.
UUGAACGCUGGCGGAAUGCUUUACACAUGCAAGUCGAGCGGCAGCGCGGGGCAACCUGGCGGCGAGCGGCGAACGGGUGAGUAACACAUCGGAACGUACCCAAUCGUGGGGGAUAACACAUCGAAAGAUGUGCUAAUACCGCAUAAGUCCUGAGGGAGAAAGCGGGGGAUCAGCAAUGACCUCGCGCGGAUGGAGCGGCCGAUGUCGGAUUAGCUAGUUGGUGGGGUAAAGGCCUACCAAGGCGACGAUCCGUAGCGGGUCUGAGAGGAUGAUCAGCCACACUGGGACUGAGACACGGCCCAGACUCCUACGGGAGGCAGCAGUGGGGAAUUUUGGACAAUGGGGGCAACCCUGAUCCAGCCAUGCCGCGUGAGUGAAGAAGGCCUUCGGGUUGUAAAGCUCUUUCAGCCGGAAAGAAAUCGCGCAGGCUAAUACUCUGCGUGGAUGACGGUACCGGAAGAAGAAGCACCGGCUCACUACGU